This 1106-nucleotide long non-coding RNA is filed under the name Strigops habroptila (Kakapo). RNAcentral's name for it is "lncRNA (ENSSHBG00005004804.1)". The record is from RNAcentral. Lineage: Eukaryota; Metazoa; Chordata; Aves; Psittaciformes; Psittacidae.
GCAAUUUUUUUGGUACCUCGAUAUAAAAAUUCUUGGACUUGGCUCUAGGCUGACAUGACAAGUAAUCAUUUGCAUCAUAUAGUUUUUUCACUGGUUCCUAAUUGGCCUAUUAACAAGGUAUGAGAAACAGCCAAAACGUUGGCUUUAGAGCUAGACAUUCACGUAGUGGCUUUGCUAGCAAAGUUUAUGGCCCUUAGACGUGUAGGAUCUGAUUUACAAGUGCAGUUAACUAAGUGACUUUAAUUCUGUCUGUGAUCUCUCAGAUACAAGCACAGAAAUGCAGUCGGAUGUGUGUGUGUGUGUGUGUGUGAGAUUCUGCUAGCUCCAAGCACCACAGCUCACGUGACCUGUGUAGUGCCGUAUGUAGCUCUGAGAAGGCAAGAGAAAGCUCCCUCUAUGUCUGCACAACUUAAGAUUACUUUUCUUUCCAUGUACUGUGUGGCAAAACCUGAAGACAAUACUGCACUGUUUGACACUAUAUGUAUAUAUGCACAUGUAAAUAUUUACAUGCGGUUUGCAACAUUUUAAAGUGUAUUUUUUUAAGGAAAAACUGUCAUACACUCAUGUUUUCACAGAGUAGGAAGUAUUUUAGAUUAGGUAUUGGUACUAUGUUUAUCUUAUACCUGUAAAAUCAGCAAGCUGGUCAUAUGGUACUGCAAAGCCCUUGCACCUGCAGAGCUUUCUGGUUGUCUCCAUCCCUCCUGGAUUUUUCCUGCAGCUGCAGUGUUGUUUUCCACUGCUAUGUUUUGCCUUUGACUAGAAGUGCUUUCAGAGUAUUUGAUUUUACUGAUAAGGAUGUAAAAGUUGAUUCAAAAACACAGAUAUUCAAAGUAGGAACCAUGGCUAUGCUCAACAGGACCAUUACACCGUUACAUUAAAUGGAUAAGUACUUCCAAGCAAAUCAAACUACUCCCUCGCAUGGAUAUAUUGGUUAUUUAUCUCUUACGCUUCAUUUUUAAAGUAUGUUUAUUUACUUCUAAGCAAACAUGCAGUUUUAAGUGGUCACCACUUUUUCCUGCAGUUGCAGGGAGUGAACUUACCUCUGACUUUUUAAUGGAGUAUUUUUAUGGUUUUAUGCAAUCUUAAAAUAAAGAACUCUCUGGGUU